Molecule: long non-coding RNA, 370 nt
Organism: Hemicordylus capensis (graceful crag lizard)
Lineage: Eukaryota; Metazoa; Chordata; Lepidosauria; Squamata; Cordylidae
Exons: 4
Source: RefSeq, a predicted model, not a curated record
CCUCACUGUUAUCAUUUCGGUGGGCCUCGAUGGAAUCACCAUUAAAGAAUGCAUCUCCUCUCCUGGCUUGUCAAACAUCCGCAUUGUUUCUCCAUCUCCCAAUGGUUUGUUGCCAAAUGUACUGAAGUUAGUAGAAGGGACGCUGGUGAAAGUCGUGGAUCCAGUUCUAAAUGCAAAUAUUUGUGACCUCCUGAAAUUGGCACUUUCUGGACCUGCUGCCUCCCUGCUUCUCCCUGAGUACUGAUUCCUUAUUGAUAUCACAAAUCCCAGAAGUGGCCGCUGUGUAGAACUUUGCAAGAAAAUCAAGUGCUCUGAAUGGUCAUUUCCCAUUUGUAUCACCUUUUGCUUCAACUUCUUCAGCUUUACCAAC